Trichonephila clavata is the source of this 74-nucleotide non-coding RNA. The record is from the annotation of a GenBank genome assembly. Lineage: Eukaryota; Metazoa; Arthropoda; Arachnida; Araneae; Nephilidae.
GUCCCUGUAGCACAAUGGAUAGUGUGUUGGACUUGUAAUUCAAAGAUCGUGGAUUCGAAUCCCCUCCUGGGAUA